Small nucleolar RNA from Girardinichthys multiradiatus, 216 nucleotides. RefSeq annotates it as small nucleolar RNA SNORA73 family. NCBI's taxonomy places the organism in Eukaryota, Metazoa, Chordata, Actinopteri, Cyprinodontiformes, Goodeidae. The record is from RefSeq and is a predicted model, not a curated record. The transcript has a single exon.
CCGACAUGGACAUCCAGAGAGAUCUUCUCCUGGCUCUGUCCUGGUGGCGUAUGGGAGCGUAGCUCUGAGCCGGGACGUACAUUCCCGUUCCACGAUGUCGGACACAAAGCUCCGUCCCCGGCCGCCGGCCGUGAGGACGAGCGUCCUGCAUAUUCCUACAACUUCCCAGAGUCCUUUGGGCCGUUACUGGGGAGCUAAACCAUGCAGGACACAGAU